GACGAACGCUGGCGGCGUGCUUAACACAUGCAAGUCGAACGGUGAACGAGGGAGCUUGCUCCCUCCGGAUCAGUGGCGAACGGGUGAGUAACACGUGAGCAAUCUGCCCCGAACUCUGGGAUAAGCGUUGGGAACGACGUCUAAUACCGGAUACGACGCGGGAGGGCAUCCUCUCCGCGUGGAAAGAACUUCGGUUCGGGAUGAGCUCGCGGCCUAUCAGCUUGUUGGUGAGGUAACGGCUCACCAAGGCGACGACGGGUAGCCGGCCUGAGAGGGUGACCGGCCACACUGGGACUGAGACACGGCCCAGACUCCUACGGGAGGCGGCAGUGGGGAAUAUUGCACAAUGGGCGCAAGCCUGAUGCAGCAACGCCGCGUGAGGGACGACGGCCUUCGGGUUGUAAACCUCUUUUAGCAGGGAAGAAGCGAAAGUGACGGUACCUGCAGAAAAAGCACCGGCUAACUACGUG
This 470-nucleotide ribosomal RNA is filed under the name uncultured bacterium. Its description in RNAcentral is "partial 16S ribosomal RNA". It matches the Rfam family "Bacterial small subunit ribosomal RNA", at positions 28 to 507 of the family's 1533-position model. The record is from RNAcentral.